Molecule: small nuclear RNA, 104 nt
Organism: Neomonachus schauinslandi (Hawaiian monk seal)
Lineage: Eukaryota; Metazoa; Chordata; Mammalia; Carnivora; Phocidae
Source: RefSeq, a predicted model, not a curated record
GCGCUUGCUUUGGCAGCACGUAUACUAAAAUUGGAAUGAUACAGAGAUGAGUAUGGCCCCUGUGCAAGGAUGACAUGAAAACCUGUGAAGCCUUCCAUAUUUUU